GUGUGGACCUGGUACCUCUUUUGUGAAGCAGCAGCUGAGGAGACUCCGGUGCUCGCCAUGGCCGACGAAAAGCCCAAGGGUUUUGGGGCCUCCAGGUG
This is a long non-coding RNA of Myotis brandtii (Brandt's bat), 98 nucleotides long. RefSeq lists it as uncharacterized. Lineage: Eukaryota; Metazoa; Chordata; Mammalia; Chiroptera; Vespertilionidae. The transcript is spliced from 3 exons. The record is from RefSeq and is a predicted model, not a curated record.